RNAcentral lists this ribosomal RNA (779 nucleotides) under uncultured Neocallimastigales. RNAcentral's name for it is "partial large subunit ribosomal RNA". It matches the Rfam family "Eukaryotic large subunit ribosomal RNA", at positions 24 to 645 of the family's 3401-position model. The record is from RNAcentral. Lineage: Eukaryota; Fungi; Neocallimastigomycota; Neocallimastigomycetes; Neocallimastigales.
UAUCUCUGUAGAGUCUGCAUAUCAAUAAGCGGAGGAAAAGAAACUAACUAGGAUUCCCUUAGUAACGGCGAGUGAAGCGGGAAGAGCUCAAAUUUGAAAUCUUCAAGGUUCUACCUUGACGAAUUGUAGUUUAAAGAAGUGUUUUCUGUUAGAUGAGUAGCAAAAGUUCCUUGGAAUAGGGACAUCAUAGAGGGUGAGAAUCCCGUAUUUGACUUAUUCAUUCCUAGCGUUGUGAUACACUUUCAAAGAGUCGGAUUGUUUGGGAAUGCAGUCCAAAAUGGGUGGUAAAUUUCAUCUAAAGCUAAAUAUUGGCGAGAGACCGAUAGCGAACAAGUACCGUGAGGGAAAGAUGAAAAGAACUUUGAAAAGAGAGUUAAACAGUACGUGAAAUUGUCAAAAGGGAAGCGUUUGACACCAGUGUUGUUUUUCCAAAAAUCAAUUACGAAUGGCUUGAUUUUGUGUUGUAUUGACCUUAUCAGCUUUCUUCACUUUUUUUCGAGUCUUUCUUAAUGCACUUUUCGGUUAACAAGUCAACAUCAAUUUCUUUUGUUGUAAAAGAGUAUUCGGAAGGUGGCUUUCUUUUCGGAGAAAGUGUUUAUAGCCCUAUACUUCUACAAUCGGAGAGAUUGAGGUCUGCAGGCGUAGAUCCUUCGGGGUUAGAUACAUUUGUGCUAAGUUGUAGCUUUUCAUAGACAACUUGUUGACUAUGUUUAGUCAUGCGGCUUACUCGCUUAUGCUAUUUUACCUACGCUUAGGAUGUUGACGAGACUGUCGAUCUC